Molecule: ribosomal RNA, 468 nt
Filed under: uncultured bacterium
Lineage: Bacteria
Description: partial 16S ribosomal RNA
Rfam family: Bacterial small subunit ribosomal RNA
Source: RNAcentral
GACGAACGCUGGCGGCGUGCUUAACACAUGCCAGUCGAACGGAAAGGCCCUGCUUUUGUGGGGUGCUCGAGUGGCGAACGGGUGAGUAACACGUGAGUAACCUGCCCUUGACUUUGGGAUAACUUCAGGAAACUGGGGCUAAUACCGGAUAGGAGCUCCUGCUGCAUGGUGGGGGUUGGAAAGUUUCGGCGGUUGGGGAUGGACUCGCGGCUUAUCAGCUUGUUGGUGGGGUAGUGGCUUACCAAGGCUUUGACGGGCAGCCGGCCUGAGAGGGUGACCGGCCACAUUGGGACUGAGAUACGGCCCAGACUCCUACGGGAGGCAGCAGUGGGGAAUAUUGCACAAUGGGCGGAAGCCUGAUGCAGCAACGCCGCGUGCGGGAUGACGGCCUUCGGGUUGUAAACCGCUUUCGCCUGUGACGAAGCGUGAGUGACGGUAAUGGGUAAAGAAGCACCGGCUAACUACGUG